CAGCCGCCACGGGAAUACGAAGGGGGCUAGCGUUGUUCGGAUUUACUGGGCGUAAAGCGCACGUAGGCGGACUUUUAAGUCAAGGGUGAAAUCCCGGGGCUCAACCCCGGAACUGCCUUUGAUACUGGGAGUCUUGAGUUCGAGAGAGGUGAGUGGAAUUGCGAGUGUAGAGGUGAAAUUCGUAGAUAUUCGCAGGAACACCAGUGGCGAAGGCGGCUCACUGGCUCGAUACUGACGCUGAGGUGCGAAAGCGUGGGGAGCAAACAGGAUUAGAUACCCCAGUAGUCCCUGUCUCUUAUAA
This 301-nucleotide ribosomal RNA is filed under the name uncultured bacterium. RNAcentral describes it as "partial 16S ribosomal RNA". It matches the Rfam family "Bacterial small subunit ribosomal RNA", at positions 509 to 809 of the family's 1533-position model. The record is from RNAcentral.